GCCCUUUUCCGGUUGAUCCUGCCGGAGGUUACCGCUCUGGGAGUUGGAUUAAGCCAUGCUAGCGGAGGGCAGUUCGGCUGCCCCGCGGAUAGCUCAGUAACACGUGGUCAAUUUAUCCUUAGGAUGAGGAUAACCCCGGGAAACUGGGGAUAAUACUCAAUAGACGGGGGAUCUGGAAAUGUCCCUCGUUGAAAUGUUCCGACGCCUAAGGAUAAGACUGCGGCCUAUUAGGUAGUUGGUGAGGUAAAGGCUCACC
Molecule: ribosomal RNA, 256 nt
Filed under: uncultured archaeon
Lineage: Archaea
Description: partial 16S ribosomal RNA
Rfam family: Archaeal small subunit ribosomal RNA
Source: RNAcentral